This 479-nucleotide ribosomal RNA is filed under the name uncultured bacterium. RNAcentral's name for it is "partial 16S ribosomal RNA". It matches the Rfam family "Bacterial small subunit ribosomal RNA", at positions 28 to 507 of the family's 1533-position model. The record is from RNAcentral.
GAUGAACGCUGGCGGCGUGCUUAACACAUGCAAGUCGAGCGAUAAGUUUUGAAGAGUUUCUUCGGAUGAAAUUUAACAAGGAAAGCGGCGGACGGGUGAGUACCGCGUAGGCAACCUGCGCUAUACAAUGGGAUAGCAUUUGGAAACGACAUUUAAUAGCUUAUGAAACUUAACUAGAGCAUGCUAGGUAGGUCCAAGAUUUAUCGGUAUGGGAUGGGCCUGCUUCUGAUUAGCUAGUUGGUGAGGUAACGGCUCACCAAAGGGACGAUCAGUAGCCGACCAGUGAGGCUGAACGGCGACAUUUGAACGGAGACGCAGUCCAGACUCCUACGGGAUGCAGCAGAGUGGAAUAUUGCACAAUGGGGUAAAUCAUGAUGGAGCAACGCCGCGUGAACUAUGAAGGCAGUGGGGACGGAAAGUUCUGGUCGAGGGUACAAAAACUGACAGUAACCUAGGAGAAAGCCCCGGCUAACUCCGUG